Molecule: ribosomal RNA, 429 nt
Filed under: Gemmatimonadota bacterium
Lineage: Bacteria; Pseudomonadati; Gemmatimonadota
Description: Gemmatimonadetes bacterium partial 16S ribosomal RNA
Rfam family: Bacterial small subunit ribosomal RNA
Source: RNAcentral
UAGGGAAUCUUCGGCAAUGGACGAAAGUCUGACCGAGCAACGCCGCGUGAGUGAAGAAGGUUUUCGGAUCGUAAAACUCUGUUGUUAGAGAAGAACAAGGACGUUAGUAACUGAACGUCCCCUGACGGUAUCUAACCAGAAAGCCACGGCUAACUACGUGCCAGCAGCCGCGGUAAUACGUAGGUGGCAAGCGUUGUCCGGAUUUAUUGGGCGUAAAGCGAGCGCAGGCGGUUUCUUAAGUCUGAUGUGAAAGCCCCCGGCUCAACCGGGGAGGGUCAUUGGAAACUGGGGGAAUUGAGUGCAGAAGAGGAGAGUGGAAUUCCAUGUGUAGCGGUGAAAUGCGUAGAUAUAUGGAGGAACACCAGUGGCGAAGGCGGCUCUCUGGUCUGUAACUGACGCUGAGGCGCGAAAGCGUGGGGAGCAAACAGG